Long non-coding RNA from Apis dorsata (giant honeybee), 94 nucleotides. RefSeq lists it as uncharacterized. The transcript has 3 exons. Lineage: Eukaryota; Metazoa; Arthropoda; Insecta; Hymenoptera; Apidae. The record is from RefSeq and is a predicted model, not a curated record.
GUGGAAUUUCGAAAGAGAGGGGAAGGGAAGAAAGCGUGAAGUCACACGGUCACGUGGCCAGAGACAAACAAGGAGGAAGGGGAAGAAUAAAGGG